RNAcentral lists this small nucleolar RNA (133 nucleotides) under Dasypus novemcinctus (nine-banded armadillo). Its description in RNAcentral is "Small nucleolar RNA SNORA31 (ENSDNOG00000039798.1)". It matches the Rfam family "Small nucleolar RNA SNORA31". From Rfam's summary of the family: ACA31 (SNORA31) belongs to the H/ACA class of snoRNAs which are thought to guide the sites of modification of uridines to pseudouridines. ACA31 is predicted to guide the pseudouridylation of U3713 in 28S rRNA and U218 in 18S rRNA. The record is from RNAcentral. Lineage: Eukaryota; Metazoa; Chordata; Mammalia; Cingulata; Dasypodidae.
AUGCAUCUCUGACAGAUCUGGAGCAGUUAAUGUCUGCUACUAAGGUUUCCACUAUAGAUGCAAGAAAAAGAAGGUCCUCAUGCUUUCUGUAUAUCUGGUUGUGGCAGCCAAGAUUGAAUGGGGGAAUACAGGA